Molecule: ribosomal RNA, 391 nt
Filed under: uncultured bacterium
Lineage: Bacteria
Description: bacterial SSU rRNA
Rfam family: Bacterial small subunit ribosomal RNA
Source: RNAcentral
AACGAACGCUGGCGGCGCGCCUAAUACAUGCAAGUCGAGCGAGAAGACGUAGCAAUACGUUUGUAAAGCGGCGAACGGGUGAGGAAUACAUGGGUAACCUACCCUCGAGUGGGGAAUAACUAGCCGAAAGGUUAGCUAAUACCGCGUACGCUCCUUGGACUUCGGUUCAGGGAGGGAAAGCGAUACCGUGGGUAUCGCGCUCUUGGAUGGGCUCAUGUCCUAUCAGCUUGUUGGUGAGGUAACGGCUCACCAAGGCUUCGACGGGUAGCUGGUCUGAGAGGACGAUCAGCCACACUGGCACUGCGACACGGGCCAGACUCCUACGGGAGGCAGCAGUAAGGAAUAUUGCGCAAUGGGCGAAAGCCUGACGCAGCGACGCCGCGUGGGGGAG